CCCGCUGAACUUAAGCAUAUCAAUAAGCGGAGGAAAAGAAACUAACAAGGAUUCCCCUAGUAACUGCGAGUGAAGCGGGAUAAGCUCAAAUUUAAAAUCUGGCGGCUCUUUGCCGUCUGAGAUGUGAUUUAUAGAAGCGUCUUCCGCGCCCGACCGUGCACAAGUCUCCCGGGAUGGAGCGACAUAGAGGGUGAGAAUCCCGUCUUUGGCAUGGAUCCCUGGCGCUUCUGUGAUGCGCUCUCUCACAGUCAAGCUGGUUGGGAAUGCAUCUCACAAUGAGCGGUGAACUCCAUCUAACGCUAAAUAUUGACGAGAGACCGAUCGCGAACAAGUACCGUGAGGGAGAGAUGAAAAGCACUUUGUAAAGAGAGAGAAGCAGUCACGUGAAAUUGUUGAAAGGGAAACCCUUGAUAGUCAGUCGCGUCGACCGAGACUCAACCUUGCCUUGGCGUGGUGUACUUCUCGACCCGACGGGUCAGCAUCAAUCAUGCCCCUCGAAUAAUGUCAAGGGACAGGUGGCACCUUCGCGGGUGUGUUAUAGUCUCCUGUCGCAUGCGAAGGGUGGGAUCGAGGAUCUCAGCUCGCGCCUCGGAGUCGGAGCUUCGCCCCACGUUCACGUGCUUAGGAUGUUGGCGUAAUGGCUUUAAACGACCCGUCUUGAAACACGG
RNAcentral lists this ribosomal RNA (668 nucleotides) under uncultured fungus. RNAcentral's name for it is "eukaryotic LSU rRNA". It matches the Rfam family "Eukaryotic large subunit ribosomal RNA", at positions 24 to 664 of the family's 3401-position model. Lineage: Eukaryota; Fungi. The record is from RNAcentral.